RNAcentral lists this long non-coding RNA (1522 nucleotides) under Oryctolagus cuniculus (rabbit). Its description in RNAcentral is "lncRNA (ENSOCUG00000039366.1)". The record is from RNAcentral. Lineage: Eukaryota; Metazoa; Chordata; Mammalia; Lagomorpha; Leporidae.
UCGGAUUCAGUCCAUGGAUCUUAGUGUAUACAUCUCAAUUAAUCAGUUCUUUGGCUUGUCUCCCCACGUGCCACGCUACCACCACGCGUGAAAUGCGCCCGUCCCGGUGCGGGCGACUUGGUGUUUUCGCUGGCGGCCCCCGGCCCCGAGAACCCCGCGGAGCCCACCGUCAGCCGCGCGAGCUUGCCCGCCUCUGCGCCGCCCCGCGGUGGAGGCGGCCGCCGGGGCCCGCCGGGCUCUGCCCUCAGUGCCGAGUCUGUGAGACACUGGCCCCAUUUAGAGCCAGCAGAAGAACAGCAGGCAACUUCUGACAGACUGCUUGGUGAUCCAAGGUACCAAUUGUAUUUAAAUUUCAGUAUCAGUAACGCUGGCUGGCUGGAACCACAUGCAACAAAAGGAAGGAAGGGUAUCAGCAUACAUUUUCCCUCCUUUGACUGCCCUAGGGGCUAGACAUGGAAAGUUUUCUAUGAUCAAGUUAAUUUUUUGCAACUUGAAAUUUUCCUCUUCUUCAAAAUUAAGGCAGCCUAAGAGAGCCAUAUAUUUGGGCCAAUAUAGCAGCAAAUUUAUGAAGUGAAAAAGUGGAGGUUUUCAUGGUGUCAUAAGCUCACCCACACUGUACAUAAAUUUAUUACUUAGAAUGCUCCAGAUUUUAGUUUUAUUAUAGAGCAAACGUGCUAUGAACAAAUUAACUUUGGAUUAUAGAGUUUUUGAAAUUAAAUAGCAGCUCUUAGUGUUUAAGUAUUGACUUUCUUAUCUCGUGUGUGUGUGUGUGUGUGUGUGUGUGUUUUAUAGCACUGUUAUGUCUUGAAAACAAACAACAAACCAGGGUCUUAAAAGCUUCCACAUUUGUACCUAGAUAUGGAAAGUCAGAAACCAUUCAUUUUUAAUUAGGCCAAUGUUUGGAACUGAGAAUUUAGAAAUUCCUUUAAACAAAGUAUUUUAGAUGAUCAUGUUUAAUGCAUAAUGAUACUUAUGUAUCCAGAAGAUUUGAAAUCAAUUAAUGAAGGCAUAGAAGUGGGACUAAAGGUAUUUUUUUAAAGGCAGUUUUCUAAACUUCCCCGCGGAGCUCUGUUUAUCCUGACCUGGCAGAGCUGCUGUAUUUCAAUGCAGGGCUUCUUUUGCAUACAGAAGUACAGACUUGCUGAGCUGAGCCAAAUCUGUCUAUCCAAUUACUGGGUAAGAGAGCUGACUGUAGCUUUAGGCAAAACCUGUAAUCUGUAAAACACAUAGUAUCUGUGGCAGCCUGAUGAAAGGGAAGGACCAAUAGUAUAUAUACGAAGCUAGAGGGAUACACAGGUGGAGUUCCCUCUACAAAGAGCACACUUCAACACUUACACCAAAAAGCAAUGAAACUUACACAGCCUGGAUCAAAAUAUCAUUUGUGUGUCUAUAGCAAUUUUGGUAUAGAAUGGUUUACAAAUGGACAAAUUUUCAGCCUUGUGCUGUGGAUCACUUAACUGAGGAUUGGUUUAAAUGCAUUUAUGACAUUUAAUAAACAUUUGAUUUAAAAGUCUUACUUGCA